GCGAAAGUGCGUGCGAGCGAGCGAGCGAGCGAAAGAGACUGUCGGGCGAGUACCGGUACCAAAAUUAUUGCAAACCAACCAAGCUACAGGCCAAUUCUCUGGAAUAUUCCAAGAAAUCCUGGAAGUUUCAGUGAUUCAACCAUCACUCUGAAAAUUGUGUGUCUUCAUUGGUGCUCAAGAGAAAAAACACAGCUUUGUGAACAUGCACUGAGAUUCAAGAUUCCUGGACUUCCUUGAGGGCAGGUAAGUAGGUCAAGAACUAAUACAUCUAAGGGACUUCCAGAUUCAUCACUGUUGUGUCUUUUCUACCGAUCAACAAAAGAGUUAAAGGUAGGUUUUCCUGCCUCUUGCU
This is a long non-coding RNA of Ahaetulla prasina, 352 nucleotides long. RefSeq lists it as uncharacterized. The transcript has 3 exons. The record is from RefSeq and is a predicted model, not a curated record. NCBI's taxonomy places the organism in Eukaryota, Metazoa, Chordata, Lepidosauria, Squamata, Colubridae.